GCAUAUCAAUAAGCGGAGGAAAAGAAACCAACAGGGAUUGCCUCAGUAACGGCGAGUGAAGCGGCAACAGCUCAAAUUUGAAAUCUGGCCCUAGGCCCGAGUUGUAAUUUGCAGAGGAUGUUUCUGGCGAGGUGCCUUCCGAGUUCCCUGGAACGGGACGCCAUAGAGGGUGAGAGCCCCGUACGGUUGGUCGCUAAGCCUCUGUGAAACUCCUUCGACGAGUCGAGUAGUUUGGGAAUGCUGCUCUAAAUGGGAGGUAUACGUCUUCUAAAGCUAAAUACCGGCCAGAGACCGAUAGCGCACAAGUAGAGUGAUCGAAAGAUGAAAAGCACUUUGAAAAGAGGGUUAAAUAGUACGUGAAAUUGUUGAAAGGGAAGCGCUUAUGACCAGACUUGGACCGGUUGAUCAUCCAUCGUUCUCGGUGGUGCACUCUGCCGGUUCAGGCCAGCAUCAGUUUGUCCCGGGGGAUAAAGGCUUUGGGAAUGUGGCUCUUCGGAGUGUUAUAGCCCAUUGCGUAAUACCCUGGGAUAGACUGAGGUUCGCGCUCCGCAAGGAUGCUGGCGUAAUGGUCAUCAGUGACCCGUCUUGAAACACGGACC
This 599-nucleotide ribosomal RNA is filed under the name Verruciconidia persicina. RNAcentral describes it as "eukaryotic LSU rRNA". It matches the Rfam family "Eukaryotic large subunit ribosomal RNA", at positions 38 to 667 of the family's 3401-position model. The record is from RNAcentral. Lineage: Eukaryota; Fungi; Ascomycota; Sordariomycetes; Hypocreales; Bionectriaceae.